UACGUAGGGGGCAAGCGUUAUCCGGAUUCACUGGGCGUAAAGGGAGCGCAGGCGGCGCGGCAAGUCUGAUGUGAAAGCCCGGGGCUCAACCCCGGGUCUGCAUUGGAAACUGUCGAGCUAGAGUGUCGGAGGGGUAAGCGGAAUUCCUAGUGUAGCGGUGAAAUGCGUAGAUAUUAGGAGGAACACCAGUGGCGAAGGCGGCUUACUGGACGAUGACUGACGCUGAGGCUCGAAAGCGUGGGGAGCAAACAGG
Molecule: ribosomal RNA, 253 nt
Filed under: uncultured bacterium
Lineage: Bacteria
Description: partial 16S ribosomal RNA
Rfam family: Bacterial small subunit ribosomal RNA
Source: RNAcentral